CCAGUGCGCAUCGUUGUGUGUCGGAUACUUAGUGUUUGCUGCCUUCUACUGUGAUCAUGUGUGUGCAUCUGUGUUCUGCCCGAAAGGGCUGUUUGUACGGGACCCAGAGUCUCGCCAUGAGUUGCUAGGCGCCCCCCUUCUUCGCCCUGCGGCCAUGAGGGCACAACUUCCGGAAGACCACCACCACCACCGCCUCCACACCAUGGGGUCCUUUUCCUACACCCCGUGGACUUUGCCACCCACUGUGACCGACUUUUGAGAGUGACGUCAGCCAUUUUCGUCACCAUGUGAAGAUGUGUGUGUGACGGCCGGGGGAGGCGCCCCCUGCGCCGUAUCUGUUGUGUGUUUUCGUCGCCAAAAAUGUUGUUUGGCGGCGCAACUAUGGUGAGUUAUUGUCGUCACCACUGUAAAGAAAUCCAUGGGCCCUUGGUAUCUGUAUAUAUAUAAUUUUAGUGUUGAGCUCAACAAAGGUUUAUUCUAUUUAUUAAAUUAGUUGUACAGUAUUAUUUGUACUUUUAGUGUGUGAGCGGUUGUUUAAGUUUUCCGCUAUAUUAUUUAACUCUAGUUUGCUAAAUACCGGCCGGUUCUCAAAUCUCCUUUUUUAUGGUACCGUACACUGUGUAACAUUGUUAUAUGUUUGUGUUACCGAGAGUUUUUAUAUCCUCUGGGUUUUUUUCGACGAUUCUGUCGUAUUCUUCUUUGGAGCCAUGAGUGCUCGCUUUACAUGCCCCCCCCCCCUAUUGAUGGGUUAAUUCGGGCUAAUAACAGUUGUAUUACUGUUCUUAUUUUGCCAUGGCACUAUUUAAGUUUGAGUAAAUUUGCAUACUCGAUUUUGAGUUUCUUGCUGCAGCUGCUUUAAUUACUCUGGUCCCCGUUUAUGGGUUAGGCCCUUUCAUUUCCUCCACAUACGUUUUGUCCGGAACACUGUUUAUGUGUAUGUUCCUGUGUGGGGAUAUUUUUACCAUGUGCCAUGAUAUCACUGUGCCCUCUUAGGUUUCGUACCGUUCUGAUCUGUGAUCUGUCAGUGUUGAGAUGAGAUUUGUUGCACUGUUAUGGUUUUGUGUCACACUGUUGCUAUUGUGUUUAUGUUGCACUGUUGUGUUCUUGGGUUACAAUUGGUAUGCAGUGAUGAUGCAUUGUUGUGUUGUUUGGAACGUUUGGUGCUGUGUUACGUGAAGAGUUACACUGUUUGUUUGAUUGUGUUAUACCUUUAAAAUGUAGUGUUGUGCUGUCGUGUUUCAUGUAGCAGUUCUAAUCUCUGGCAUCAAGUUAUGUUUGUCUGUGAUGAAAUAAUCCUUUUGUUUGUUCCUUUUGAGAAAAUACAUUUAAAUGUCAGUUCUGAGAAUGUUUAUUAUGUCUAUAUAUUUUAAUCUAUUAUCGUGGGUUCGCGCCCCACUGUAUUGUGUUAAUCUAUGCAAUAUAUAUUUAUAACUGCUACUUUUGCCCAAAUAGUUUAUCAAUAAACUUGUUAUAUUAUAACUU
Molecule: long non-coding RNA, 1482 nt
Organism: Frankliniella occidentalis (western flower thrips)
Lineage: Eukaryota; Metazoa; Arthropoda; Insecta; Thysanoptera; Thripidae
Exons: 2
Source: RefSeq, a predicted model, not a curated record